This 834-nucleotide ribosomal RNA is filed under the name Pseudostrickeria muriformis. Its description in RNAcentral is "eukaryotic LSU rRNA". It matches the Rfam family "Eukaryotic large subunit ribosomal RNA", at positions 82 to 937 of the family's 3401-position model. Lineage: Eukaryota; Fungi; Ascomycota; Dothideomycetes; Pleosporales; Melanommataceae. The record is from RNAcentral.
AGUAACGGCGAGUGAAGCGGCAAUAGCUCAAAUUUGAAAUCUGGCCCUUUCAGGGUCCGAGUUGUAAUUUGCAGAGGGCGCUUUGGCGUCGGCAGCAGCCUAAGUUCCUUGGAACAGGUCAUCAUAGAGGGUGAGAAUCCCGUAUGUGGCUGCUUGUCUUCGCCGUGUAAAGCCCCUUCGACGAGUCGAGUUGUUUGGGAAUGCAGCUCUAAAUGGGAGGUAAAUUUCUUCUAAAGCUAAAUAUUGGCCAGAGACCGAUAGCGCACAAGUAGAGUGAUCGAAAGAUGAAAAGCACUUUGGAAAGAGAGUCAAAAAGCACGUGAAAUUGUUGAAAGGGAAGCGCUUGCAGCCAGACGUGCCCGCAGUUGCUCAUCUGGGGAUCUCCCCAGUGCACUCUUCUGUGGGCAGGCCAGCAUCAGUCUGGGCGGUUAGAGAAAGACCUGUGUCACGUAUCUGCUCUCGGGCAGUGUUAUAGGGCAGGUGGAAUGUAACCAGCCUGGACUGAGGUCCGCGCAUCUGCUAGGAUGCUGGCGUAAUGGCUGUAAGCGGCCCGUCUUGAAACACGGACCAAGGAGUCUAACAUCUAUGCGAGUGUUUGGGUGUCAAGCCCGAGCGCGUAAUGAAAGUGAACGGAGGUGGGAACCCUAGGGUGCACCAUCGACCGAUCCUGAUGUCUUCGGAUGGAUUUGAGUAAGAGCAUAGCUGUUGGGACCCGAAAGAUGGUGAACUAUGCCUGAAUAGGGUGAAGCCAGAGGAAACUCUGGUGGAGGCUCGCAGCGGUUCUGACGUGCAAAUCGAUCGUCAAAUUUGGGCAUAGGGGCGAAAGACUAAUCG